UAUGUUAACCGCGAAAAUAAAAUAAAAUAAAUUGAUGCCCGCCCAACUAAAAUUUUUUUGGGAUAUCUCAAAGGUAUGUGGUAAAAAAUUAGGGUUCACGUCUCUAUCUCUUUCCCAUUCGACACCUCUGUCUCAUUUCAAUUUUUCUUUUGGCAACUCUUGAUCCUCCAUCUCUAUCCCGAUAUCAACUCUCGAUCCUCCAUCUCUGUCCCGAUUUCUCAAUCAGACUCGUUACUCCAUCUCUGUCUCGAUCUCUCAAUCACAGUCAUGUUCCUCGCACUUUCAUUCUCGAUCUCAAUCUAUCUCCGUUUCGUUCCCUCUCAAUCGUCAUCUAAAGCGGUAAAUCGAAUUGGUGAGGUCGAAUUUGACACUGAAGUAAGAGCUCGGUGAGACUUCAGUUAAAGGUAUUCGAGUUCAAUUUCGGAUUUUGAUUUUAAGGUUUUGGUAAAUAGUCGAUCUAUUCAGUAUAAUCGGUUCCUAAUUGAUAUAUAUUUGAGUGUUCUUGCAGCUGAAUUUUGUACUUAGAAGAACUAAUAGAUAUGUGGGAUUUCGAUUUUAAAAGUUUCUAAUUCUUUUGUAGAUAGUCUUCAAAUCAUCAAGAUCACCACUUGUUUAUUUUGUAAGCUAUUAUUUUCUUAGUCUUUGUUUGUUUACUUUCUUUCUCGUGUGUGUUGAUGUGAGUAGGCUGUCAUUGUUAUUUGAGUGUUUGAUCCUUUGAACUCUUUAUCACAAAUUGUAUACUCGGUGGUGGAGAUAUGGUUGUAUUGUUGUGAUAUGGACAAGGCAUGUGUUUGAGAGAGCUAGUGUCCUUAAAGGUAUCUCUAACCUCGUGUCUAAAUAUUGUUUGAGAGAGCUGAUGUUAUUUGGUUAUAAAUGCAGGCAAAUAUUGUAAGAACUGAUCGCAUUGAAUCUCUGAUUUUGGUUUCUCAUUGUGAAACAGGGUGAUACAUUCAACAAUUCUCAUUGUAUCACAGACUCAAGGCUCAAUACAUUCAACAAUCUUGGUGAGAUAUUUCACUUCAUGCAAUUUACACUAGGAAAUCUAUCAAAAGGGUUUUGUUAUUUUAUUUUACUCUUGAGAUUAUAGUUGCUAAAUCUGAUGAGUAAGAUUCUUGAAGCGCCAAGCAUGAACUGUUUACCUUUGGAUGUUGGUUUUUGUUUUUCUUUGCAGGAGAGAUGUGAGAAUAUGAUCGAAUAUGUAAAAAGGCUUAGGCUUUGCAUUAGAUAUUUUCAAGAACUCGAGUUAGAUUACGUCUUUGAGCAAGAGAUGGAGGUUCAUGACAAAGUGAAUCAAACGAGAAAAAAUCUUGUUCGUCUUAGAGUUUUUAGGCUAUUAACUCGAUCUGUAACUUUUUAACU
This is a long non-coding RNA of Arabidopsis lyrata subsp. lyrata, 1359 nucleotides long. RefSeq lists it as uncharacterized. The record is from RefSeq and is a predicted model, not a curated record. The transcript is spliced from 3 exons. NCBI's taxonomy places the organism in Eukaryota, Viridiplantae, Streptophyta, Magnoliopsida, Brassicales, Brassicaceae.